AAACGACAUCGAAAGCUUGCUUUUGAUGGGCGUCGACCGGCGCACGGGUGAGUAACGCGUAUCCAACCUGCCUUACACUCUUGGAUAACCUUGCGAAAGUAAGACUAAUACCCAAUGAUAUCUCUAGAAGACAUCUGAAAGAGAUUAAAGAUUUAUCGGUGAUGGAUGGGGAUGCGUCUGAUUAGCUUGUUGGCGGGGUAACGGCCCACCAAGGCAACGAUCAGUAGGGGUUCUGAGAGGAAGGUCCCCACAUUGGAACUGAGACACGGUCCAAACUCC
RNAcentral lists this ribosomal RNA (279 nucleotides) under uncultured Prevotella sp. RNAcentral's name for it is "partial 16S ribosomal RNA". It matches the Rfam family "Bacterial small subunit ribosomal RNA", at positions 64 to 339 of the family's 1533-position model. Lineage: Bacteria; Pseudomonadati; Bacteroidota; Bacteroidia; Bacteroidales; Prevotellaceae. The record is from RNAcentral.